GGAGUGGACGCAUCACUGGUGUUCGGGUUGUCAUGCCAAUGGCACUGCCCGGUAGCUAAAUGCGGAAGAGAUAAGUGCUGAAAGCAUCUAAGCACGAAACUUGCCCCGAGAUGAGUUCUCCCUGAGACUUAGAGUCUCCUGAAGGAACGUUGAAGACGACGACGUUGAUAGGCCGGGUGUGUAAGCGCAGCGAUGCGUUGAGCUAACCGGUACUAAUGAACCGUGAGGCUUAACCUUAC
Molecule: ribosomal RNA, 239 nt
Filed under: Salmonella enterica subsp. enterica serovar Bareilly str. CFSAN000197
Lineage: Bacteria; Pseudomonadati; Pseudomonadota; Gammaproteobacteria; Enterobacterales; Enterobacteriaceae
Description: partial 23S ribosomal RNA
Rfam family: Bacterial large subunit ribosomal RNA
Source: RNAcentral